UGGGGAAUAUUGCACAAUGGGCGAAAGCCUGAUGCAGCAACGCCGCGUGAGUGAUGAAGGUCUUCGGAUUGUAAAGCUCUGUCUUUUGGGACGAUAAUGACGGUACCAAAGGAGGAAGCCACGGCUAACUACGUGCCAGCAGCCGCGGUAAUACGUAGGUGGCGAGCGUUGUCCGGAUUUACUGGGCGUAAAGGGUGCGUAGGCGGAUGUUUAAGUGAGAUGUGAAAUACCCGGGCUUAACUUGGGUGCUGCAUUUCAAACUGGAUAUCUAGAGUGCAGGAGAGGAGAAUGGAAUUCCUAGUGUAGCGGUGAAAUGCGUAGAGAUUAGGAAGAACACCAGUGGCGAAGGCGAUUCUCUGGACUGUAACUGACGCUGAGGCACGAAAGCGUGGGUAGCAACAGGAUUAGAUACCCUGGUAGUCCACGCC
This 428-nucleotide ribosomal RNA is filed under the name uncultured bacterium. Its description in RNAcentral is "partial 16S ribosomal RNA". It matches the Rfam family "Bacterial small subunit ribosomal RNA", at positions 355 to 801 of the family's 1533-position model. The record is from RNAcentral.